Molecule: ribosomal RNA, 484 nt
Filed under: uncultured bacterium
Lineage: Bacteria
Description: bacterial SSU rRNA
Rfam family: Bacterial small subunit ribosomal RNA
Source: RNAcentral
AUUGAACGCUGGCGGCAUGCCUUACACAUGCAAGUCGAACGGCAGCACGGGAGCAAUCCUGGUGGCGAGUGGCGAACGGGUGAGUAAUAUAUCGGAACGUGCCCAGUCGUGGGGGAUAACGUAGCGAAAGCUACGCUAAUACCGCAUACGAUCUACGGAUGAAAGCGGGGGAUCGCAAGACCUCGCGCGAUUGGAGCGGCCGAUAUCAGAUUAGGUAGUUGGUGAGGUAAAGGCUCACCAAGCCGACGAUCUGUAGCUGGUCUGAGAGGACGACCAGCCACACUGGGACUGAGACACGGCCCAGACUCCUACGGGAGGCAGCAGUGGGGAAUUUUGGACAAUGGGCGCAAGCCUGAUCCAGCAAUGCCGUGUGCAGGAUGAAGGCCUUCGGGUUGUAAACUGCUUUUGUACGGAACGAAACGGUGAGCUCUAAUACAGUUUGCUAAUGACGGUACCGUAAGAAUAAGCACCGGCUAACUACGUG